This is a non-coding RNA of Pelobates cultripes (western spadefoot toad), 693 nucleotides long. Lineage: Eukaryota; Metazoa; Chordata; Amphibia; Anura; Pelobatidae. The record is from the annotation of a GenBank genome assembly.
CCCUAAAGCACCGGUGUCUACUACAACACUGGCCAGAUGGGUCUGCUGGCUUUUAUCGUUAGCUGGCGUUGAACCAUGCUUUGGGGCCCACUCAGUCAGGGGUGCGGCCGCUUCACAAGCUUUCUCGGUAGGAGCCACUCUUGCCGACAUUAUGCGUUGUGCGGAUUGGAAGCACAAGAGUACUUUCAGGAAGUUUUAUUUUCGGCAGACUUCUCAUGCCUCUUUUACGUUGAUUAAUUCUUAGCGUUAAAAAUGCAAAUAUGAAGCCUCCUGUCAUGUGGUAAAAUUGUAGAUUAUGCUAACGUAGUGUACCUAUAAUCUUAAUUUUAGUAAUGACAGGAUGCGAAUAUUUCCCACCCUAUUUUUCCCUCCCGAAUUAUAGAAAUGGUUAUGUAACGUUAUAUAUAUUUUUCACUGAUUGAACUUUAUAAGAUGGUUAUGUAUCACAAUUACAUAACUUUGACGUUUCAGGAUUAGUUUUUUCUUGCUAUCAUGACAUACAUAAUAGUUGUUACAAAGUCUUUGAUGUUCAUUAUAUGCGGGCAACUUGCCAAUUCAGAUGCCUUUCACUUUUUUCUUUUUCUUUCAGUGUGAUUGGUUAUCUCUGAAGGAGGGAAUCACCUUUUCUGUUCAAUUACCUGAAGUUCCUACCGGAUUUGGGAUGACAUUGUUGGAUUUAAAGGAUCACUAUAG